AUCCUACGGGGCGCAGCAGUGGGGAAUAUUGCACAAUGGGGGAAACCCUGAUGCAGCAACGCCGCGUGAGUGAGGAAGUAUUUCGGUAUGUAAAGCUCUAUCAGCAGGGAAUAGAAAAGAAGGUACCUGAAAAAGAAGCCCCGGCUAACUACGUGCCAGCAGCCGCGGUAAUACGUAGGUGGCAAGCGUUAUCCGGAUUUACUGGGUGUAAAGGGCGUGUAGGCGGGGAAGCAAGUCAGAUGUGAAAUUCCAGGGCUCAACCCUGGAACUGCAUUUGAAACUGUUUUUCUUGAGUGAUGGAGAGG
Molecule: ribosomal RNA, 305 nt
Filed under: uncultured bacterium
Lineage: Bacteria
Description: bacterial SSU rRNA
Rfam family: Bacterial small subunit ribosomal RNA
Source: RNAcentral